Molecule: ribosomal RNA, 468 nt
Filed under: uncultured bacterium
Lineage: Bacteria
Description: partial 16S ribosomal RNA
Rfam family: Bacterial small subunit ribosomal RNA
Source: RNAcentral
GACGAACGCUGGCGGCGUGCUUAACACAUGCAAGUCGAACGGAAAGGCCCUGCUUUUGUGGGGUGCUCGAGUGGCGAACGGGUGAGUAACACGUGAGUAACCUGCCCUUGACUUUGGGAUAACUUCAGGAAACUGGGGCUAAUACCGGAUAGGAGCUCCUGCUGCAUGGUGGGGGUUGGAAAGUUUCGGCGGUUGGGGAUGGACUCGCGGCUUAUCAGCUUGUUGGUGUGGUAGUGGCUUACCAAGGCUUUGACGGGUAGCCGGCCUGAUAGGGUGACCGGCCACAUUGGGACUGGGCUACGGCCCAGACUCCUACGGGAGGCAGCAGUGGGGAAUAUUGCACAAUGGGCGGAAGCCUGAUGCAGCAACGCCGCGUGCGGGAUGACGGCCUUCGGGUUGUAAACCGCUUUCGCCUGUGACGAAGCGUGAGUGACGGUAAUGGGUAAAGAAGCACCGGCUAACUACGUG